AUGUUGGAUGAGCUAAGUGUGCCUGAAGAACCCAGAUUUAAAGGCAUGUACAAUGUCAUUCAUAUUGAUGAGAAGUGGUUCUACCGCACUAAAGGUACUCAGAACUACUACUUGGCACCUGAUGAAGAAGAACCCUAUCGCAGCACACAGAGCAAGGGAUUUAUCAAGAAAGUGAUGUUCUUGGCAGCAGUAGCAAGGCCUCGUUAUGAUGAUCAUGGUGUCAUGACAUUUGAUGGCAAGAUUGGAAUUUGGCCAUUCACAUAUCAGGACUUUGCAAAGAGGCGUAGCCCUUACCGAGAUAGGGGGGAAGAGGUAACCAAGGUUUUGCCGUUGGUGACGAAGGAUGUUAGUAGAGAUUAUAUGGUGAACAAGCUUCUACCUGCCAUCAAGGCUUUGUGGCCGGCUUCGGAACGCGGACGCAUAAUAUACAUUCAGCAAGAUAAUGCAAAGACCCAUAUUGCUGUGAAUGACAGUGUGUUUUGUGCAGCGGCACAGGCGGAUGGAUGGGAUAUUAGGCUUACAUGUCAGCCACCGAACUCACCUGAUUUGAACAUUCUUGACUUAGGGUUCUUUGCGGCACUUCAGGCUCUUUUUGAGAAGAUGUCCCCUGGUAAAAUUGCUGAUAUUGUUGCA
This 633-nucleotide ribosomal RNA is filed under the name Triticum aestivum (bread wheat). Its description in RNAcentral is "partial small subunit ribosomal RNA". Lineage: Eukaryota; Viridiplantae; Streptophyta; Magnoliopsida; Poales; Poaceae. The record is from RNAcentral.